RNAcentral lists this ribosomal RNA (492 nucleotides) under uncultured bacterium. Its description in RNAcentral is "partial 16S ribosomal RNA". It matches the Rfam family "Bacterial small subunit ribosomal RNA", at positions 29 to 507 of the family's 1533-position model. The record is from RNAcentral.
AGUGAACGCUGGCGGUAGGCCUAACACAUGCAAGUCGAACGGCAGCACAGUAAGAGCUUGCUCUUACGGGUGGCGAGUGGCGGACGGGUGAGGAAUACAUCGGAAUCUACUUUUUCGCGGGGGAUAACGUAGGGAAACUUACGCUAAUACCGCAUACGACCUACGGGUGAAAGCAGGGGAUCUUCGGACCUUGCGCGAUUGAAUGAGCCGAUGUCGGAUUAACUAGUUGGCGGGGUAAAGGCCCACCAAGGCGACGAUCCGUAGCUGGUCUGAGAGGAUGAUCAGCCACACUGGAACUGAGACACGGUCCAGACUCCUACGGGAGGCAGCAGUGGGGAAUAUUGGACAAUGGGCGCAAGCCUGAUCCAGCCAUACCGCGUGGGUGAAGAAGGCCUUCGGGUUGUAAAGCCCUUUUGUCGGGAAAGAAAAGCAGCAGGUUAAUACCCCGCUGUUCUGACGGUACCCAAAGAAUAAGCACCGGCUAACUUCGUG